UCACCUCCUACUGUAUUGGAGCAGCAGCAGCUGACUGCCCAGGUCAAUAUCAGUUCACCGUCCCACCUCAUACUGUAUUGGAGCAGCUGACUUGAUCGUUGAUGCUAAUCAGCAUGUUUGAAUCUGAGAGUAAAUAGAGCCGACUACACUCUAAAAAUGAAGGGUUCAACUGGAGUUGUUCUCAGAUCCCCUAAGAACCGUAGGGUUCUUGGUCAAUAAUGAAAAACAGACCCAAAAGGUUCUUCAAAGAACUUGUUAGAAGGUGGGUUCAUCGAGGAACCUCGGUUGUUGCUGGACUUCUUCCGGGAACUUCGCAAUUACAACUGAAAACGAUGGUGACAAGUUUGGAUGCGACAACAGUUAAAAAGGACAGAACAUGGACACAAUGCAAUUGGGAUCAAGAAGAAGAUCUUGUCAGAAAUGAAUCAAGUCCAUGGAUUGGAUAUAGACAAAAAGAUAAUUCAAGGAUUAUCAGAGGUAGAGAGGCGAGGCAGUGGUGAGGACAUCAUCCUGCUAUUUUGACAGUCCCUGAAGGACAAUACAGAAGAGGGAUUUGCUCUUAUUCCUCCCCUUUCUCUAAUGUAUUUUGUAAUAAAAUUAGCAAGUGUAGUAACAUCAUUGCUUUACUUUACUAGGACUGGAGACCCCAGCAGCGAUUCUGCUCUUGCCCAACCUCUUCAAUGAGGACCCUUUAUGUCCGUGACAAGAUUUCACCACUCUUCACUCCUUUACUGCACAUCGGCAGAAAUCCAUUUCACCAUGAGAGUGAAAUCCCGCUGGCCUUUGAUGGGGAGAACAUCCACGCCCUUGAGGACGUCCCAAUGGGACUUGGGGCUCUGCUAGGGCUGUAUUUUUAUUUUCCCUUAAAUUUCCCAAAAAUGUCAGAAAAACACUUAUGUUGUUAAGUUACUGUGUUCUGGGGGAUAAGAGAAGUUGGGGUGGAGUUACCAGGGCCGGUCAUAAAGAUGGCAAACUUCCUAACAUAACUAAGUGGAUACAAUAUACACACUAAAGCUGAAAAAUCUGUAUUUAGCAUCAAGUCUACAAUAUUGUUAGUUUACCUAUGAUUCAUUUUUAAUGUAUGUUGUUUUUAUUGUACAUCAUUAUUAUUAUAUAUUUUUUUAAAUGUCAU
Long non-coding RNA from Salvelinus sp. IW2-2015, 1132 nucleotides. RefSeq lists it as uncharacterized. The record is from RefSeq and is a predicted model, not a curated record. NCBI's taxonomy places the organism in Eukaryota, Metazoa, Chordata, Actinopteri, Salmoniformes, Salmonidae.